RNAcentral lists this non-coding RNA (32 nucleotides) under Mus musculus (house mouse). The record is from RNAcentral. Lineage: Eukaryota; Metazoa; Chordata; Mammalia; Rodentia; Muridae.
UCUGGAGCCGUGAAUGACCCUGAACUGGUCCC